Molecule: ribosomal RNA, 1092 nt
Filed under: Triticum aestivum (bread wheat)
Lineage: Eukaryota; Viridiplantae; Streptophyta; Magnoliopsida; Poales; Poaceae
Description: partial small subunit ribosomal RNA
Source: RNAcentral
AUGAGGAACUUUCGAGGUCAUAACCCUGAGAAAGGGAUGGUUCAUCCUCGCAAGCGUUCAAGAAAGAGGCUUAUUACUAGUGACAGUGAUGAUGAUGAUGACUAUACUGACAAGGAUUACUCAAUUGAAGAAGACGCAUCAAAGCAGCUUGUCCUCUAUGAUCCGCAGACCACACGUCGCCAGCAAAGGGAAUUCCAAGUAGCCGAGCCCAUAUAUGACUCUACUCCACUGCAGCAAAUACCCCCGAAGACAAAGUAUGGUGGACACUCCAGAGUUUUACCAUCUAUUGGGCACUAUACUGUACAGUGCGCCCAGUGCUUCAAAUGGAGGGUCGUUCCAACAAAGGAGAAAUAUGAAGAGCUGCGUGAGACUAUUUCCGAGGAACUUUUUGUGUGUGCAAGGGCUCGUGAAUGGAACCGUGUUUUAUCAUGUGAUGAUCCAGAAGAUAUGUCACAAGAUGGAAGUAGGGUGUGGGCAAUUGACAAGCCAAACAUUGCCCAGACUCCUGUUGGCUGGAAUAGGGAGGUCAGAAUCAGGGGGGAGGGUUGCAGCAAGUUUGCAGAUGUGUAUUACACUUCUCCAGCUGGGACAACGUUGAGGUCAAUGGUUGAAAUUGAGAGGUACUUGGCAGAGAAUCCAUUCUACGUUCGACAAGGGGUUUAUUUAGGCCAGUUCUCGUUUGCUACCCCAAAGCCUCUGCAAGAAGAUUAUGUCAGGAAGCGUAAAUAUUCAGCAACAACUCGUGAAUUGCCGGACAUUCUUGAGCCAGUUGAAGUGAACCCACUGUGCUGGGCAGCGCCUCCUACCCGCAGAGAGCAGCUUCAGAUGGGGGCUUCAGCUUCAAACCCCGUCGACCUCGACGGCGAACCUGAGGUGUUUGAAGCACCACCCAUGCACACCAACAGGAGAAAUCUGAAUCAAGCGAUGCCGUCAUGGAGCGGGCGCAAGAAGAGAGCGGCGUCGUCUGAAGAGCCCAAGAAGAGAACCAUGCAGCAAGCUUCGGCGUCGAUCCGUCCACCGUCUCCACCCAGCUGGCCACGCCGCGGCCAGCCUCAGCGGUUUCCCAGCGACGUCGAGCACGUGCUGUUGUGA